GGAGGUUGGCUUAGAAGCAGCCAUCCUUGAAAGAGUGCGUAAUAGCUCACUGGUCAAGUGAUCGUGCGCCGACAAUGUAGCGGGGCUCAAGCACACCGCCGAAGCCGCGGACCCAUGACAUGGUUCCCUUCACCGUCCGUCUUUGUGCGUGUGGUGGCAGGGGUCGUGGGUGGUAGGGGAGCGUCCUGCACCGGGGGAAGCCUGUGGGUGACUGCUGGUGGACGGUGCGGGAGUGAGAAUGCAGGCAUGAGUAGCGAUACUAGGGUGAGAAGCCCUAGCGCCGAAUGACCAAGGGUUCCAGGGCCAGGCUAGUCCGCCCUGGGUGAGUCGGGACCUAAGGCGAGGCCGACAGGCGUAGUCGAUGGAUGACGGGUUGAUAUUCCCGUACCGGCGAAGCACCGCCCAUGCUGACGCGCGGGUGCUAACCCACGCCCGGCCGCCAUGUAGGCCGCAUGUGUCAGGUUCGCCUGACGGUGUGGUUGUGGUGGUGGGGUCUGGGGAUCCUCCGUGCAGGUAGGCAAGCGUGUUAACAGGGGUGACGCACAGUGGUAGCCCGGCGGACCUGAUGGCUUGGUCCGUUCAAGCGCGCAGCCCGUCCUCCAGGUAAAUCCGGGGGGCUGUCUUUGAUGACGGGGGUGAGGCGUGAUGGUGACCCCACUCUGGUGGGGGAUAGCAGGGUGAUCCUGGGGUGCCGAGAAAAGCCUCGACGCGAUGGUGCCAGCCGCCCGUACCCUAAACCGACACAGGUGGUCGGGCAGAGUAUGCCUAGGCGCACGAGUGAAUCAUGGUUAAGGAACUCGGCAAAAUGCCCCCGUAACUUCGGGAGAAGGGGGGCCUGAGCUUUGAAGCCCCUUCGCGGGCUAGGAGCAAGGGUCGCAGAGAACAGGGGGGAGCGACUGUUUACUAAAAACACAGGUCCGUGCGAAGCCGUAAGGCGAUGUAUACGGACUGACGCCUGCCCGGUGCUGGAAGGUUAAGAGGAACCAUCAACCCUCGGGUGAAGUGGUGAAUUUAAGCCCCAGUAAACGGCGGUGGUAACUAUAACCAUCCUAAGGUAGCGAAAUUCCUUGUCGGGUAAGUUCCGACCUGCACGAAUGGCGUAACGACUUCCCUACUGUCUCAACCAUGAGCUCGGCGAAAUUGCACUACGAGUAAAGAUGCUCGUUUCGCGCAGAAGGACGGAAAGACCCCGGGACCUUUACUACAGCUUGGUAUUGGCGCCCGCUAUAGCUUGUGCAGGAUAGGUGGGAGACGUUGAAGCCGCUACGCCAGUAGUGGUGGAGUCGUCCUUGAAAUACCACUCUGGUUAUGGCGUGCGCCUGAACCUGGGCCCGUGAUCCGGGUUAGGGACAGUGCCUGGUGGGUAGUUUAACUGGGGCGGUUGCCUCCUAAAGUGUAACGGAGGCGCUCAAAGGUUCCCUCAGCCUGGUCGGCAACCAGGUGUUGAGUGCAAGUGCACAAGGGAGCUUGACUGUGAGACCGACGGGUCGAGCAGGUACGAAAGUAGGAACUAGUGAUCCGGCGAUCCCGUGUGGGUGGGUCGUCGCUCAACGGAUAAAAGGUACCCCGGGGAUAACAGGCUGAUCCUGCCCAAGAGUCCAUAUCGACGGCAUGGUUUGGCACCUCGAUGUCGGCUCGUCGCAUCCUGGGGCUGGAGCAGGUCCCAAGGGUUGGGCUGUUCGCCCAUUAAAGCGGUACGCGAGCUGGGUUUAGAACGUCGUGAGACAGUUCGGUCCCUAUCCUCUGCGCGCGCAGGAGACUUGAGAAGGCCUGUCCCUAGUACGAGAGGACCGGGACGGACGAACCUCUGGUGUGCCAGUUGUCCCGCCCGGGGCACGGCUGGUUGGCUACGUUCGGACAGGGUAACCGCUGAAAGCAUCUAAGCGGGAAACCACCUUCAAGACCAGGUCUCCGCAGCAGCACCCCGUGCUGCUGGAAGGCCCCCAGCAGACCACUGGGUCGAUAGGCCAGACGUGGAAGACCGGCAACGGCCGAAGCCGACUGGUACUAACAGGCCAACACAAACACAC
This 2030-nucleotide ribosomal RNA is filed under the name human oral metagenome. Its description in RNAcentral is "bacterial LSU rRNA". It matches the Rfam family "Bacterial large subunit ribosomal RNA", at positions 1096 to 2925 of the family's 2925-position model. The record is from RNAcentral.